GAAGCAGUUCGUUGUGGCGCCAGAUUUUGACAAGAAUGAUGUCGAGCACUGGCUGCUGCCCAAGGAAGAUGUCAUUGAUGCCUAUCUGGUUGAAAGUCCCGAGAGCCGUGAAAUAACUGAUUUAUGCAGUUUUUACACGAUCUCCUGCUCAAUACAUGGCAGCCAGAACCACUCAAUUCUGAAGGGUGCCUACUCUUAUUACAACGUAUCCACCAAGACUCCCUUGCUCCAAUUGAUGAAUGAUGCCCUCAUUGUUGCCAAGAAGAAGGACUUCGAUGUUUUCGUCGCGUUGGAUGUUAUGCAAAACAAGACAUUCUUGAAUGAGCUCAAGUUUGUCCCCGGAGAUGAGAAGCUUCAUUACUAUCUCUACAACUACCGGCUAAAGCACUCACUGGGAUCAUCGGAGGUUGGCCUCGUGUCCUUAUAGAUUCAUCGGUCAUGGUGUCACGGGCGAGCAUUCUUGUAUGUUCAGCGGCGAGCAUUCUUGUAUGAGAGUUUUUUCUGUUCUUGGAAGACCUACCAUUUGUUAGGAGAAACAAAGGUUUUCGAAGGCGUUUUUAAGCCUCGAGGUGUGUCAAUGUUCUCACUGAAUCCCCAAUCGUGGGGUGUUUGGCUAAGUUUAUUUUAAAGAACAUGUAUAAGCUUCAAUAACUUAUAAAAUAUUUUAAAAAUUUAUAAAAUGUAAUUUUUCAGGAGUUUAUAAAUUGUUAAAGUAUGGAUAAUAUUUAAUUUUAGUAAAUACUUUUUCAACUUAUUUUUUGAAAUAACUCCACUAACAUUCACUUUUACAAUUUUCACAUAUUUACACACAUUGUCAUUAAUGAAUUUACAGUUUUUUAAAAAUAACCUCAUUAUUUUACUAAACUUACAUUGUAAAAUGAUACGAUCAUAUAGAAUUAUAAAAAGUAAAUUGUGGUAGAGAAAUUUAUAAAUUGUUUGAACUUAUGUUUACAAUUUAUAAGUUAUUUAAAAAUUUAUUUUAUCAAAUACUCCCUCCGUCCACGAAAGAACUUCCUACUUUUUCCUAUUUUGGGACAAUACCCCACCAAAGACAAUUCCCACCACUCAAAUAACAUUAAUUAAAACAACACAAUAAAUUAUUAAUACUUUUUCACAAUUCCCAAUACACUUUAUAACCUUUUCUCCACUCUCAAUACACUAUACAACAUUUUAUUAAAACACGUGUCACUCUCUCCUAGGAAGUUCUUUCAUGGACGGAGGGAGUACUUUGAAUUAAUUUACAAACUAAUUUUAAAAAAAAAUUAUAAUUUCAAUCAAACACUCUCUAGGUUCAUUGUUCGAUGUUUUUUUUCCACCUAAAUGGGGAAAAUGCUAAAAACUAAUUAGGUACGUAAAAUAUGAUAAUCAAUUCAAUUUAGAUUUUAAGGGUUGUAAAAAAAUUGAAAUAGAUUUAGAAAAUAGUUUUUUUUUUAGGAAAUAGAAAAUAGAUUUAAAUGGGUAUAGAAAAGAUUUGAAAAAGUCGAGAAAUACAUAAAAAUAAAAUUUAAUCCUAAUUCCAAAAAAAAAUUAAUCCAUUUUUCAGUUAAUCGAAUAAUCAAUUAGUUUGGUAUUCAGUUACCAUCUGCCAUAAUUUUCGAUUUUAGUUAAUCAAAAUUAAACCGAUUCCUCUUUCUCAAAAAAAAAAAAAAGAAAAGAAAUUAAACCGGUUCCCAUAAUGAAACCGGAAGUAGAUUAUAUUUAAAAAUAAAUUAAAACAAAAUGAAAAAUCUGGAAAAUAAACAAUAUUUAUUCAUUACUUUUCAAAUUUUCUAUUGACAGGAAUACAAAAUAUAAAUAAAAAAAAAUUAAAAAUAAAAAGAACAGAAAAAUAGAAAAGUAAAGAAAAACUGCAUCUAUAUCGUCGGUCUGUCAUAGUCAAAACUCUCACCUCUUUCAAAGUCAAAACUCUCUGACGUAUGAGUAUCACGCUCACCCUCCCUCGAUUCCAAAAUCCCCAAACUGAAGAGGGAAACCCUUCUACCGCCGCUGCCUUGCCGUGUCUCUUCCCCAGCCCGCCGCUUCGCUGCCGCCGCUGCAGUCCCUACUCCGCCGAUUUUGCUCGCCGUCUUGUAAAAGUAGUUUUGUGCUUUUUUUUAUCUAAACUAAAAUUAUAAUCGACUUUCCUUGUUAAAAUUGCAUUUUUUGUGCUUACUGUACUUAUUUAAUGCUUAUAGAAAAUUAACGAUCUUUAGUUUUAGAUGAGUGAAUUUGAGCAUUGCAGGAGUAAUAGAACUAUAUCUAUCUGUAAAGAUUAACUCCUUACUCUGUUAGGCUUAAUGAUUGAGAUUUUAGGCAGAAUUACAAAGUCAAUUUAGGGAAAUUGGAGUAAUUUAAAAGCUGCGGAAGAAAGUUUAGAGAUAUGAAAUUGUAAACUUGUAUUGUGAGUUUUCAAAAUUUCCUAGUAAUGAUCUAUUACGCUUAAAGGGAUUAUUUCCACACAAAAUACACAAACCUAGCUAAGCAGAACAUCUAUAGGUAAAGUUGUCUGUAAUUUUGUUUUUUGAUGUUGAAUGUUAGCGUUAAAGCAUUAAAUCCAGUGAAUUGAUGGAUUAGUCUCAUGUGUGUAAGCGGAUGUUAUGGUGUGUGCAUUACAAGCUGCUCGGGGAGCAUUCGUGGCAUAUUUCGUAGUCGUUGGAGAACCUUAUUGCUAAACUGCAUAGAUGUUAAUGAGGAUUUGAUUGGUAUCUUAUGGCUUAUUUGGAAAUAUGAUUCAUGUGUAUUGUCUUAUAAAUGUCAAGAGUAGGUUUUUUGAGAAUGGCUGACAACGAUGCUCCAGCUGAAAUCAUUCCCUCAAACAAGAAUAAUGCACCUUCGGGAAUGAAAUUGAAACUUCAAUUGAUUCAUUGGCAAGAAAGGUUCAGGAGUCCUUCUCGCUUAAAAAGAGGCAUAAGUUUUGGGAGACCCAACCCGUUAGCCAGUUCAAGGAUCUUGGAGGUAUGAGCUUGCUUGAAGGCCCGAUUGAGCAACCAACUCCACUCUCUGAAGUCAAGCAGGAGCCGUAUAAUCUCCCAGCUCCGUAUGAAUGGAUUACAUGCGAUCUGGACUCAGAGGAGGUGUGUAAUGAGGUGUAUACUUUAUUGACCAAUAACUAUAUUGAGGCUGAUGGGAGUAUGUUUAGACUCAAUUACUCAAAAGAGUUUCUUAGAUGGGCACUUCUUUCUCCUGGUUAUUUCCGGAGCUGGCACAUCGGAUUAAGGGUGAAGACUUCAAAGAAACUGGUUGCGUUCAUUACUGGGAUUCCUGCAAAAAUUCGUGUCCGUGAUGCUGUGAUGCCGCUUGCAGAGGUAAAUUUUCUGUGUGUUCACAAGAAGCUCCGAUCAAAGAGUCUUGCUCCUGUCAUGAUUAAGGAGCUUAGUCGGAGGGUUCGUUUGGAGAAUGUAUGGCAGGCAGCUUAUACUGCUGCCGCUGUUCUUCCCACACCAAUAACAACUUCUAGGUUCUGGCAAGGUUGUUGAAUCCGAGGAAGCUUAUCGAUGUUGGGUUUUCUAGGCUCGAUCCAUGGAUGACAAUGAGCCAAACUAUCAACUUUUACAAGCUACCAAAGCAAACCACGACUCCUGCCUUCAGAAAGAUGGAACCACACGAUGUGCCUGCAGUUACUCGUUUGCUUAGGAAUUACUUGAAGCAGUUUGUUGUGGCGCCAGAUUUUGAUGAGAAUGAUGUCGAGCACUGGCUGCUGCCCAAGGAAGAUGUCAUUGAUGCCUAUCUGGUUGAAAGUCCCGAGAGCCGUGAAAUAACUGAUUUAUGCAGUUUUACACACCUCCUGCUCAAUACAUGGCAGCCAGAACCACUCAAUUCUGAAGGGUGCACACUCUUAUUACAACGUAUCCACCAAGACUCCCUUGCUCCAAUUGAUGAAUGAUGCCCUCAUUGUUGCCAAGA
This 3882-nucleotide long non-coding RNA is filed under the name Salvia miltiorrhiza (redroot sage). RNAcentral describes it as "long non-coding RNA (SMIL_LNC002294)". The record is from RNAcentral. Lineage: Eukaryota; Viridiplantae; Streptophyta; Magnoliopsida; Lamiales; Lamiaceae.